This 253-nucleotide ribosomal RNA is filed under the name uncultured bacterium. RNAcentral's name for it is "partial 16S ribosomal RNA". It matches the Rfam family "Bacterial small subunit ribosomal RNA", at positions 524 to 776 of the family's 1533-position model. The record is from RNAcentral.
UACGGAGGGAGCUAGCGUUGUUCGGAAUUACUGGGCGUAAAGCGCACGUAGGCGGCUUUGUAAGUUAGAGGUGAAAGCCUGGAGCUCAACUCCAGAAUUGCCUUUAAGACUGCAUCGCUCGAAUCCAGGAGAGGUGAGUGGAAUUCCGAGUGUAGAGGUGAAAUUCGUAGAUAUUCGGAAGAACACCAGUGGCGAAGGCGGCUCACUGGACUGGUAUUGACGCUGAGGUGCGAAAGCGUGGGGAGCAAACAGG